GACGAACGCUGGCGGCGUGCUUAACACAUGCAAGUCGAACGAAGUGGCGAACGGGUGAGUAACGCGUAAUCAACCUGCUCUUCAGAGGGGGACAACAGUUGGAAACGACUGCUAAUAUCGCAUACUGAAGGAGGGGAGUGCGUCGGAUAAGCUAGAUGAAGGGGAAACGGCCCACCAAGGCGAUGAUCAGUAGCCGGUUUGAGAGAAUGAACGGCCACAUUGGGACUGAGACACGGCCCAGACUCCUACGGGAGGCAGCAGUGGGGAGUCUUCCGCAAUGGACGAAAGUCUGACGGAGCAACGCCGCGUGAGUGAUGACGGCCUUCGGGUUGUAAAGCUCUGUUAUUCGGGACGCGGUACCGGAAUAGAAAGCCACGGCUAACUACGUGCCAGCAGCCGCGGUAAUAC
RNAcentral lists this ribosomal RNA (408 nucleotides) under uncultured bacterium. RNAcentral's name for it is "partial 16S ribosomal RNA". It matches the Rfam family "Bacterial small subunit ribosomal RNA", at positions 28 to 526 of the family's 1533-position model. The record is from RNAcentral.